UACAGAGACUGCAAGCGUUAUUCGGAUUCACUGGGCGUAAAGGGUGCGUAGGCGGUCGGGUAAGUCUGAUGUGAAAUCUCACAGCUUAACUGUGAAACUGCAUUGGAUACUAUCCGGCUCGAGGAAUGGAGGGGAGACUGGAAUACUUGGUGUAGCAGUGAAAUGCGUAGAUAUCAAGUGGAACACCAGUGGCGAAGGCGAGUCUCUGGGCCGUUACUGACGCUGAGGAGCGAAAGCGUGGGGAGCGAACAGG
RNAcentral lists this ribosomal RNA (253 nucleotides) under uncultured bacterium. RNAcentral describes it as "partial 16S ribosomal RNA". It matches the Rfam family "Bacterial small subunit ribosomal RNA", at positions 524 to 776 of the family's 1533-position model. The record is from RNAcentral.